RNAcentral lists this ribosomal RNA (484 nucleotides) under uncultured bacterium. Its description in RNAcentral is "partial 16S ribosomal RNA". It matches the Rfam family "Bacterial small subunit ribosomal RNA", at positions 30 to 507 of the family's 1533-position model. The record is from RNAcentral.
AUUGAACGCUGGCGGCAGGCCUAACACAUGCAAGUCGAGCGGAUGAAGGUAGCUUGCUCCUUGAUUCAGCGUCGGACGGGUGAGUAAUGCCUAUGAAUCUGCCUGGUAGUUGGUUAUAACGUCCGGAAACGGGCGCUAAUACCGCAUACGUCCUUUGGUAGAAAGUGGGUGAUCUUCGGACCUCACGCUAUCAGCUGACCCUAUGUCGGAUUAGCUAGUUGGUGUGGUAAAGGCCUACCAAGGCGACGAUCCGUAACUGGUCUGAGAGGAUGAUCAGUCACACUGGAACUGAGACACGGUACAGAAUACUACGGGAGGCAGCAGUGGGGAAUAUUGGACAAUGGGCGAAAGCCUGAUACAGCAAUGCCGCGUGUGUGAAGAAGGUCUAAGGAUUGUAAAGAACUUUAAGUUGGGAGGAAGGGAAGUAAGUUAAUACCUUGCUGUAUUGACGUUAACAAAAGAAUAAGCACCGGCUAACUUCGUG